UCUAACCUUCAGAGAACAUCCGCCCUCCUCCGCCACCGAAAUUACCUCACGGCGGUGCCGGUGAUCCAAACGCCCUCAUCUUUACGCCAUCAAACCCCCACAACCUUCUCAUUCCAAUCCCAUGCUCACCUCCCUUCGAAUCAAGCCCGGAUGCCUCGAAUCUCGAUUUUAAGUCAAGCACCCUAGCCGCCGCCACAAGAUCCCCGGUGGAACCGUCCCAAAUUAACACCCAUUCACCUCCUUGACUCUCUCACCCCAAAUCCAUGACUAGAUUUACUCAAAGUUUACCCUAGAUUCUCGAAUCUUAAAUCCGAGGACGAACCUUACAAAUCCAAAAAAACAAAAAAAAUAGGGAAAUGGAGUCCUCAUCAGCGGAUUGGGUUUAUUUAGACUCUAUUCGUGUGUUUUGCUAAAAACACACAAAUAAGGUCAAGAUGGACCGAAAUUAGAGGAAUUCGAAGAAUUCAAGUCCGGAGCUCAAAUUUGACAAUAAGUCCGUUUACUUCCAAGUUAGUUCUAAUUCUUAUUUUGGUAUUGACAUCUCUUCUUCUUUCCUUUUCUGUUAGUUUGAAAUUUCCAAAAAAAAAUAAUAAAGAAGGGAAUCUGUUUUUAAGUGUGAAACCUGUUCUGAUUGUUUUCUGUUGAUUUUUUUUGCUCCUAAUCACACGACAAUGUCAUUCAAUGUGUUUAGUUGUUUCUUUUGGUCAAUUAUCGAUUUUGAUUAUUAGCUUGACUGCACUGUUUAGCCGAAACUCAUAAUAGUUAAACUCUUAGUCACUGGCUGCUUAUUUGUAUGCUAUAUCGUCUUGUUUGAUAAUUAAGGAGUGUCAGUGAUUUUCCUUAAUUAAGUAGUCAGUUCAGAUGAAACUAAUGAACCGUUAGAAUAAUGAAAUUGGGAACUGUUUAAACUAAUGAAAUAGUUUAAUCAGUAAUGGGGGUUGAUGAUUGUUUAAAACACUGUCAGAAAAAUAGAAAUCACAUGGGCACCAUUUCACAAGGUUUGAAGGAAUUGAAUAGAAAAAUAGGCUGCCGAUACUUAAUUGAAUAGGAAAAUAGGCUGCCCAUACCCCUGUAAUUUAAUAAAGAAAGAAACAAGGGAUUUGUAAAUAAAUUGCUAUCAACUCUCAGAUUCAAGGGAUGAUCUUAAAUACUAAAAUUGACUUCAUGAUUCAGUUAUUAGCCACUUUAGAUAGCUUCACAUGACUGAUUAUGCCAAAUCUAUGUGAUAUAUGAAAUUGAAGUAGUAUUUAAGUAGUACUUUCGAAUGAGCAUAUGGGUAGAAUCUGAUAGUAAAUGUUCACGAUUAUCAAAUUAGCCCAUUAGGUUUGAUAGUUUAACUUAGUUAGUUAUACUUUAGUUUGUUCAAUACACUCAGAAUAUUACAAUGAUUCGUUCAAUGACUGCUUGAUGAAAUCGGAGAGCAUCUUGGUCUGUUUAAUUAAUUGAGCUUGACGGCUCAUUGUUGAAAGUGUAGGAUCAAUUAGGCCAAUUUUCACUUAUUUGGACUUGAUUGAAAGAGUUCAAUUCAUAAUCUAAUACAGUAUAAUUCAAUUCUUAAUAAAUUAGGACUUUUCUUUUAUUUGUAGAGACAGUGAAAAAUAGAAAAUCAUAGAUACUUUUAAGAUGGGUUUUUAAAAAAUGAGAUGAGUGUCGCCAAAUAAAAAUGCAAAUUGUGGUGCCCUCGAUAAUAUUAUAUUAAAAUACUUAGAUUCUGGGACUUUUCCCAAAACAAUGUCGUGUUAGACUCUUUAGGAGCGAUUUAAAUAAAAUUACAUUCUCAAAUACAGGUGUGCAUUUCAUGUGACCCAAAUCCAAAUCAUAAAAUAUUGUAUAAAAAUGAUUCGGGUGCAUUUCAUGUGACGUGAUCCGGAAACAUAUUUUUUAAACGAUGUUUACUUUCUUAAAAAUUUUAAUUAAAGCGGUAAACAAUCUUUAAAAUUGCACAAUAUGAUAACAUGUAUUAAAAUCAUAUAUCAAGCCAUUUAUAAUAGUUUAAGCGUCUGUGCUAGAACUACGGGAUCCGGAGGUGCCUAACACCUUCCAUCGGGUCAACAAAAUUCCUUACUUAGAAUUUCUGGUUCGCAGACUUCACUUGGAAAGUAAAAAAUUUCCUCGAUUUGGGAUUUAAGAUAAACCGGUGACGUGGGACACCAAAAGCCAAUCAUAUCCUAAGUGGAGACUCUAAUAAAUAAAUAAUCUUAUUUCGAAUAAUGUCACUUAAAAUGAAAAAACUCUCGUAUACAUUUAUCCCUCGGGGUAGGUGCGUAAAAAGGAGGUGUGACAGUAUGCACAAGAUUUGUUUGGGUUAACACACUGAUAAAAGCUCUUAGGUGUUUCAGCAGGGAUGGGGGUGACAUAACCAGCAGCGUUGAGUCUCUCAUACAACUAGUCAAUGGGUUCAGCAAUGGCUGUAUAUUGUUUUGGGGGUAUGCAGUCAAAAUUAGGCCGGUGUCUAGGGAAGUUUUGGUGUGCAGGGGGUGAUUGGUAAUGGGGUGGUUGAGCAUUAUAGGUUUGGUAUACAUGAGUGAGUUGGGAGUAUCCGGGUGAAGUAGGUUGGUAUGUAGGAGGUGGAAGUGACUGAUAAGUUGGUGGUGGAGCUUGAUAUGAGGGUGAGGGUGCUUGGUAGUUCAGAUUUGGCUAAUAUGUGAGUGGAGGUGUUAGGUAAGUUUGGUAUUUGAUGAGAGAUUUGGUCCUUUGUGCAACCAUUACGGCCCUCACAUCCCUUUUUUUAGACACACCACCGGACUGUAAAGCCUUAUUGGUAGCUUGCAAGGCCUCGAAGUUUGUAACCAUACUGCUUUUGAUGCAUUCUUCAUUUCUUUUCACCCAAUUUGAUAAUGCCGGAGAAUUUUUGAUUCUCAAUCAUCAUCGGCCGUUCAUAGUACUGUGGGUCCUGACCCCAAACAAAGAACUUGUUUAUCUGCUCCUCUUCUAAGGCAGGUCUAACCUUGGCAGCUUCGGGCCUCUAGCGAGUAGCAUACUCGCGAAAUAUUUCUGUAUGCUUCUUCUUUAGAUUCUGAAUGUAGAACACAUUCAGCACAUUCUCCGUAUUAAACCUGAACCUAUCCAUAAAGUCGGACGUCAUGCCUACGCAACUUGACCACUUCUUUGGAUCUUAGCUCAUGUACUAAGACAAUGCAUCUCUCUUCAGGAAAAGCUUCAUGCGGAUUCUUUCAUCAUUUCAUACUCAAACCAGCUUAUCGCAGUAUGUCCUUAGAUGGACCCUUGGAUCACUCGUACCAUGAAACAUCUCGAACGUAGGGGGUUUGUAGCCCCCGGGCAGUUUGACGUCAGGCUGUAUGCAAAGAUCCUCAUAGUCCAGCACAUCGAUUCCCUUGCUUCCCUCAACGCGCUGAAUUUGGCUAGUCAAUUUCUUAAGUUCCUCAGCCAUAUUUCUGAUAAGCAGAUCAUUUUUUUUGACUUAGGUGUGUUUGAGAUAGGUUGGGUGGAGUGUAGCAUAGUCUCCACAUAGAUAGGGGUGUUAUAGUAGCCGGGUGUAUGGGUAAGGAAAUGGUCCUUUGUGGAGUUUUGAGGUUCUGGGAUGAGUAUUGGGGUGUUGUUUAGGAUAUGGCAGAUGCUGCAUUGGGUUUUAGUGGAACAAUGUGUUGCUUGGGGAUGUUUUACGGAGGUGUAGGGUUUUGAGUGUUGGGAGUUGAUAUCUGGGGUGCUGAGGGGAAAUGACAGGUUUGCCAAAUUCUGAACCUGAUCAAGUCAUUCCUGAAAUUUUAGCAGCUUUUGUUCAAGUUAUGACCCAUUCUCCUUAGGAACCUGAGUACUAUAGCCAUUAGUAGUCUUUACCUGUUCAUUUGGAUUCUCCUUUCUGUUGUUAUUUAGAUUUUUCAUCUUGCUUUUGUUCUUGUUUCUGACAGGACUAAGCAGAGGAGUGGUUAGAGGGCCCCUGGAUCUCAUGGAAUAAGAUAAUUUUGCCAGAGUGUACGAACUAACCUUUAGUGAGUGGAAUAAUAAAAGAAAAAUAGAAAUAGAAAACAAAAAAGGUAAUCAAGUCGGUGAGGAUUAUAAAAAGCAUUGCGGUAUUUAAAUAUGUAGUGUGGGAAUGUAAAGCGUGUCCUAAUUAGGAAACCUAUUUGUGCCUGAGGUAGGUGUAAACAGCUCAGCCCUCUAGUGAUAUUGUCCACAUUGGGCCUAGUCCCUCACUGGUUUAAAAUGCGUCACAAGGGUUAAAAGGCUUGUUAACUUAUAUACCGAACAUCCCUCUUAUGUUUUGCCAAUGUGAUACUCUUUAUUGGGUAUUACACACACCCCCUCUUAUUGACUCAGCAUCCUCACUUAGAUUUGCCCCACCGCAUGGGAUUUUCCUAGACUCGCCACUGAGGUUUGCCCCGCCUAACCGGAAUUUGCCUAAACUCAGUUGAACUCUGACCCACCAUCAGCAAGGCUGACACAAGAGUGGCUCUAAUACCAUCUGUAACAGCCCAGCCCGCUAGUGAUAUUGUCCGUUUUCGGCAUAGGCCCUCAAGGGUUUAAAACGCAUUACUAGGGUUUAAGGUUUGUUAACUUAUAUACCCAAUAUCUCUCUUAUGUUUUGCCGAUGUGGGACUCUGUCUAUAGUCUAGGGUGUUACAUACACCCCCUCUUAUUAACUCAACGUCCUCGCUGAGGUUUGUCUCACCGCAUGGGAUUUUCCUAGACUCAGCACUGAGAUUUGCCCUGCCUAACUGUGAUUUUCCUAAACUCAAUUGAACUCUGACCCACCAUCAGCAAGGCUGACACAAAACCGGCUCUGAUUCUAUCUGUAACAGCCCAGUCCGCUAUUGAUGUUGUCUGCUGAUGUUCAAAAUGUUAAUACCACACAAGAAGGGGCGACGAUUUGUAUGGUACCCAAUUUUUCAAUCUAGAAGAACCUGGUUUUUCUAGGUGUUCUAAUUACUACUGUUGCGGAAUUAAAAGUACAGAAAAUAAAGAAUACAAAUAUUUUUAUAUGGAAAAGACAUGGCUUAAAAGGUGAGUAAAUCACGGCCUACUACUUUAUAGGGUUUUCCCCAACAUCCACUAAAACCAAUAAGCCAAAAUAACAUUUACAGAACUCUUGUAAUCCUAAGGAUUAACUCUAAUCCCUCUGUAGCACACAACCUCAACUAUUGCGAUGCUUUCAAUUUAACUCUAACUUUAAUACUCAAAGUUCCCAAUACAAUUGCUUCUAUGGAUGCUAGAAAGAUACAAUUUUAAACCACCUAUUAUAAUUAAACUAGAAUAUGAAUAAACACAAUGGAACUGGUUCUUUUAUGUCGUUAAAGUAGCUUCAGGAGUGCACACUUAAAUCUCACAUAAAUUGCUUGCAAAAUUGCCUUGCUCUUUUGCUCUAAAUUUAGUUUAACUUCUGCGUAUGUGUAAUACAUGUAAAAGAGAACAAUCACAAUUAUUUAAUGAGUUAGUAAUUAGAGUUUGAUUAAGACUCAAUUUUCGAUCCUUUUAUCGAAUUUGAGUCCUAGAACAAUACAAAUUCCAAUCCUUAUCCUUGAUCCAAAUUAAGUUCUCUUCAAGGAGACUUCAUCUCCUCAUCCUUUACGUAACCUUUUCGAUCAGUUCGGAAGAUAUUACUGCUUGAUCGUUAAGACUUAUCUUCUUCACGUGCAUCUCACAUGUAUAAGUAGAUAACCAUCGUGUCUCACAUGAUGGACUGGUCCAAGACUGAGUUCAUUUGUCAAUCUUCAAAACCUCAUCUGAACUUGGGCCAACAAAAUUUCCCAUUUUUGAUGAUGACAAACUAUGUGAUUUUACUAAUCAUAGAACAUGUGGAACUCAGUUGAAUUAUCAACCUUUUAACUUAGAAAUAUUAACUUAUCAUUAAAGACCAGGUUUAAUCAGGUUAUAAAUAUCACUUUAUUUCAGAAUAAAAAAUAAAGCACAUUAUCUCUAUCCCCUUUAGACAUCAUCGAAAAGUUGCAUCUAAUGUGACUCCUAGAUUUUAAUCAUUACUCAUGGCCACUGGUGCAACUGCAAGUGAAAGCAUGGUUUAGUUAAUCAAUAAUCAACUUGACAAAUAUCUUUUAUUAAGAUCAGAAUCUUCAUAAAGCAAGAGAAAAAGUAAAUUUUCAUUGAUUAGGAAAUGUUUCUACAAAUCUGACCACAAAAAGAAAGAAAAAACAUCCAACCAUGACCAAUAAAAACAAAGAAAAGUCUGGAAUUUAGGUCACUGGAGAGGGGGAGGGUUCUAGACUGGUUCAAAGAUAGGAACUGGAAGACCUAAGGCUUAGAGGAACUAGAGGGUUGGGAUUGGAUAAGAUUAAGCAUAGUCAGAAACAUCCCUUCACUCAUUUCCUUUUCCUUUGCUAGCCCAGCUUACUGUCCAUUUCUCGCAUUUUCCAGUUCAACAACACAAGCCUUGAGCCUAACAAUUUCAUAAUCUUUUGUUCCACAUUCUUGAACCAAGGCCCUAACCUUGCUUUUCACAGGAGUACUCAGAGAUGAACCAGGUUCAAUUGGGAUACAAUGAGGACAUAGUCACAAGCCUACAAAGUUUUGACACCAAAAUGCUCCUUGCAGGAAGCCAUCUCCCAUUUCUU
Molecule: long non-coding RNA, 6524 nt
Filed under: Nicotiana benthamiana
Lineage: Eukaryota; Viridiplantae; Streptophyta; Magnoliopsida; Solanales; Solanaceae
Description: long non-coding RNA (NBEN_LNC004635)
Source: RNAcentral